GGUCAAGGCUUUGUGUGCUCAAAUGCCAGUAGUGCUAGCUACUGAUGACUCACAGUUGCAUACAACUCUGGGAAUUGCCCUCAGCUGAAGGCAGCUGCCUUGCCCAAAUCUGUGCUCCUGUUCUUGGCUGCAGCCAUAUCCAAUGAUGGAUUGUUGUGAGGCUAAAUCAAAAUACGUCUGGAAAUUUCAUUGGCUCUACCUUCAAAAUGUAUUCAGAAUUCAGAAAGUUCUUCAGGCAAAAGGAAUAUGAAACCAACCGUAAACUUGGAUCUACAUCAAGAAAUGAAGAGCGCUGGAAAUGGGAUAAAGUAAGAUCUAAUUAGGAAGAACUUGCUUUGUCUGGGAGUAAUUAAAUUUUAUCAGGACAAAUUAAAUACAAGUUGAUGGCCUUACAGCUUAUCUAAAAAUCAUCCUAGAUUGCCUACUAAAAUUGAAAUUAAAUUCUUUUCCAUCGCUUUACCAGGAAGACUUCAUGAAUAGAAUUUGGAUUCUUGAUCAAUUUCAACUUUUGGACUAUUCUCUUCCUAAAAGACAGAUCUUAGAAGCCAAGAAAUUAAGCUGAAAAACAACAAACCACCAAAGGAUCUUACCCAGGAUAUAUUUGAUAAACUCUCUUUUCCUUGCUAUUAAAUGUAUCCUGUUGCCUUGAAAGAAAUGAAUACACCUACCUUAUACAGUGAGCAAUUUUCUCUCCAAGGAUUAUUUUACUCAUUCAGGUUCACCAUGGGUCAGGCUAAGAGCAGUCCUAGUAUAAUUCAUAUUUCUUCCCACAGACAUUCUUAACUGCUUCAGGAUGUGUGACUAAUUAGAAGAAAUACACAGAGCAGGCACUGUAUGUGACACACAGCAACCACCUGCACAGGUUGCCAUUGUGUUUAAGUCACAUAGAUUACCCUAUGAGUCAUUAACUUUUAUAAAAAGUCUUAAA
RNAcentral lists this long non-coding RNA (928 nucleotides) under Equus asinus (donkey). Its description in RNAcentral is "lncRNA (ENSEASG00005032729.1)". Lineage: Eukaryota; Metazoa; Chordata; Mammalia; Perissodactyla; Equidae. The record is from RNAcentral.